Molecule: ribosomal RNA, 220 nt
Filed under: uncultured bacterium
Lineage: Bacteria
Description: partial 16S ribosomal RNA
Rfam family: Bacterial small subunit ribosomal RNA
Source: RNAcentral
UACGGAGGAGGCAAGCGUUAUCCGGAAUUAUUGGGCGUAAAGCGUCCGCAGGUGGCUAUUCAAGUCUGCGGUCAAAGACUGGGGCUUAACCCUGGAAAGGCCGUGGAAACUGAAGAGCUAGAGUGCAGUAGGGGUAGAGGGAAUUCCCGGUGUAGCGGUGAAAUGCGUAGAACUCGGGAAGAACAUCGGUGGCGAAAGCGCUCUGCUGGACUGCAACUGA